AGAAAAGAUGGAGGAACCACAAGC
Molecule: small RNA, 24 nt
Filed under: Brassica napus (rape)
Lineage: Eukaryota; Viridiplantae; Streptophyta; Magnoliopsida; Brassicales; Brassicaceae
Description: PsRNA_27
Source: RNAcentral